Molecule: non-coding RNA, 66 nt
Organism: Cordylochernes scorpioides
Lineage: Eukaryota; Metazoa; Arthropoda; Arachnida; Pseudoscorpiones; Chernetidae
Source: the annotation of a GenBank genome assembly
UUGCUUUUGGUUCAGUGGUGGAAACGCCACGCGGGCGCCCCGGGUUCGAUUCCCGGCCAAUGCAAU